Molecule: long non-coding RNA, 221 nt
Filed under: Lathyrus oleraceus (garden pea)
Lineage: Eukaryota; Viridiplantae; Streptophyta; Magnoliopsida; Fabales; Fabaceae
Description: Pisum sativum (pea) long non-coding RNA (PSAT_LNC012988)
Source: RNAcentral
AAUGCGGAAGGCCUAGAAUUUUCCACAGUCGCACUAACUUCUGUUUAGUCUAACAGCAUAGGCUAAAUUUGGUCUCCCCUCGUUGUGGUCCAUUAUUUCCUGGACGCUGAAAUUUUGCUUAUGACGGUCAAAAACUGUUAUAACGUGUGUGCUAGCUUUGACGCUCUCCUCUUUCAUGACUUUCAUACAACAUUCACUGAAUACUUGCCUAGACAUUAACA